RNAcentral lists this ribosomal RNA (258 nucleotides) under Limosilactobacillus reuteri. RNAcentral's name for it is "partial 16S ribosomal RNA". It matches the Rfam family "Bacterial small subunit ribosomal RNA", at positions 537 to 797 of the family's 1533-position model. The record is from RNAcentral. Lineage: Bacteria; Bacillati; Bacillota; Bacilli; Lactobacillales; Lactobacillaceae.
GGCGGCUUCCGGAUAUUGGGCGUAAGCGAGCGCAGGCGGUUGCUUAGGUCUGAUGUGAAAGCCUUCGGCUUAACCGAAGAAGUGCAUCGGAAACCGGGCGACUUGAGUGCAGAAGAGGACAGUGGAACUCCAUGUGUAGCGGUGGAAUGCGUAGAUAUAUGGAAGAACACCAGUGGCGAAGGCGGCUGUCUGGUCUGCAACUGACGCUGAGGCUCGAAAGCAUGGGUAGCGAACAGGAUUAGAUACCCCGGUAGUCCA